GACAGUGGUGUUAAUACCUUCAAAGCCUGAUCUAGUCAGAUCUCAGAAGUUAAGCAAGGCUAGGUGUGGUUAGUACUGACUUGGGUAACAUCUAAAGAAUAUCAGGUUGCCAUCAUAA
Molecule: ribosomal RNA, 118 nt
Filed under: Lepisosteus oculatus (spotted gar)
Lineage: Eukaryota; Metazoa; Chordata; Actinopteri; Semionotiformes; Lepisosteidae
Source: RNAcentral